GUGCUCGCUUCGGCAGCACAUAUAAUAAAAGUGGAAUGAUACAGAGAAGAUUAGCAUGGCCCCUGUGCAAGGAAUAAAAAUUGGAAAGGAAGAAGUCAAAAUAUCA
Molecule: small nuclear RNA, 106 nt
Organism: Mus caroli (Ryukyu mouse)
Lineage: Eukaryota; Metazoa; Chordata; Mammalia; Rodentia; Muridae
Source: RefSeq, a predicted model, not a curated record